GCAUAGCGGUAUCCUGAGUAACGCGGGACACGAGGAAUCCUGCGCGAAUCUGCCGGGACCAUCCGGUAAGGCUAAAUACUCCCGUGAGACCGAUAGCGAACGAGUACUGUGAAGGAAAGGUGAAAAGAACCCCGAGCAGGGGAGUGAAAUAGUUCCUGAAACCAUACGCCUACAAGCGGUCGGAGCACAGCAAUGUGUGACGGCGUGCCUUUUGCAUAAUGAUCCUACGAGUUACCGUCACUGGCGAGGUUGAGUGUCACGAGACACGUAGCCGCAGUGAAAGCGAGCCUGAAGAGGGCGCACAGUCAGUGGGGGUAGACGCGAAACCAAGUGAUCUACACUUGGCCAGGAUGAAGUCCCGGUAACACGGGAUGGAGGUCCGCACCAAUAAGCGUUGAAAAGCUUCUGGAUGAGCCGAGUGUAGGAGUGAAAGGCCAAUCAAACUUGGAGAUAGCUCGUACUCCCCGAAAGGCAUUUAGGUGCCGCGUCGGAUGGUCACCGUGAGAGGUAGAGCGACCGAUAGGACAAGAGGGCUUCACCGCCUAUCGAGUCCUGACGAACUCCGAAUGCUCACGGUCUGCAGUCCGGCAGUAAGGGGGCGGGUGCUAAGGUCCGUCCCCGAGAGGAGAAGAAUCCAGACCGCCGUCUAAGGUCCCGGAGUUCUGCCUGAGUUAGUCUAACGAAGUCUGGUCCCUAUGACAGCUAGGAUGUUGGCUUGGAAGCAGCCAUUCAUUCAAAGAGUGCGUAACAGCUCACUAGUCGAGGGUCCGGGCAUGGAUAAUAAUCGGGUAUAAGGCAGACACCGAAGGCGCGGGAUAGCAAUUAUAAAAGUAUCGGUAGGGGAGCAUACUCACAGCGUCGAAUGGUGUACGUAAGUUAUCCUGGAGCGGUGAGUAAAGCAAAUGUAGGAAUAAGUAACGAUAAGGAGGGUUAGAUUCCCUCCCGCUGUAAGACCAAGGUUUCCCGGGCAAUGCCAAUCAGCCCGGGGUCAGUCGGGUCCUAAGUCUAAGCCGAACGGCGAUGGCGAUGGCAGAGACGGUUAAUAUUCCGUCACUGCCGCAUGGGGCGACGUGGAGACGGAGCAGUGAAACCACCGCGGGGCGACGGAAGUCCCCGUUGAAGGGUGUAGGCGUUGAGGAUGGCAGGCAAAUCCACCAUCCGAGCUGAACCUGACAGUACGGAGUCCUCCUCGGAGGAAUCUGAUAGUGUGGGUAAUCAUACUCCCGAGAAAAUCCGCUAAGCUUAACCCAUGCGGCACCCGUACCGCAAACGGACACACGUGGUCGGGUAGAACAUACUAAGGCGUUGAGAGAUUCAUGGUUAAGGAACUAGGCAAAUUGACCCUGUAACUUCGGGAUAAAGGGUCCUCGUGAUGAGCGAGGCGCAGAGAAUAGGUCCAGGCAACUGUUUAACAAAAACACAGGGCUGUGCAAACUCGAAAGAUGACGUAUACAGCCUGACACCUGCCCGGUGCCGGAAGGUUAAGAGGAGAUGUCACUCGCAAGAGGAAGCAUUGAAUUGAAGCCCCGGUAAACGGCGGCCGUAACUAUAACGGUCCUAAGGUAGCGAAAUUCCUUGUCGGGU
RNAcentral lists this ribosomal RNA (1584 nucleotides) under metagenome. RNAcentral's name for it is "bacterial LSU rRNA". It matches the Rfam family "Bacterial large subunit ribosomal RNA", at positions 395 to 1977 of the family's 2925-position model. The record is from RNAcentral.